CCGAUCUUGUUUGUGCACCUUGGUGUGGCGGGUUACCUAGAAACCAGGCCAGAACCCGCUCCCUCUCUUCCAGAGAUUCUGUAACCUCACAAAAGUGUCCCCAUAAACAGAUUGCUUGUCACCAGGGGGCGGGGGUGUGUGCGGGCUGGAACCCAGUUUGGACUUGAUCCAAGUUGACCUGCAAAGCCUGGGUUCCUGCUUUCAAAGGCUUCUUUGCUGGGCUCUACACCCACCUGCCCUGCAGUCAGGUUUAGGCAGACAAGAAACCGCCUCUGGACGAGAAAGUCCUGGGGCUGCGGCUCAGCAUUUUCCAUUUUCUCAGAGGUGGGGUGGGCCGCGUUCAGGUCUAGAAGUGAUGUCACAACCAGCCCUGUAAAGUGAUGUAACCUACACUUGAAGGACUAGGACCCGGCUACUAUUUUGAGACUCUUGAGUUCCUUCCUUCCUCCCUGGAGACAAGUGGAUGACUAUGGAGAACUCACAAAGCCGCUCAGGAUUUGGAGGUGGUUAGCUCUGGCUACCGUGAAUCAUGUUUUACGUCAGUAAGGAGUAUACCCCGUCCGUCGUUCAUUCUUUAAGCAUGCCAUGGAGACAGGAUGGUCAGUCAAAGUAAUGGUUAUGCAUGUCAGGAAGCAAAUGAACAUGGGAUGGAAGAGGAGGAGGCCCUACCUCAAGCAUCAUUCCCGGCAUCUCCAGGACAAACUUCCUGCUCAAGUAGCACGAUGUGGAGAUUCUUGGCAGUUCCACCAGGCAACCCUCUCAACACUGAAUCUCCAACACCUGGCUGCAAAGGACUGUUUGAUGAGCAUCUCAUGAGUGGGACCAACGGGUUGGCUGAGUUCCCCAGACUUUAUCAUGUUGACCCUGGAUCUUUAGCUGUCACCCAAAGCAUCUUUCUUUCUUUUUUUCCAUUUUACCAUUAUAACAUCUUUGCUACUUCAUUUUUUUACAGCUUUCCAUAAAGAAUUAAGGUUUGCAAAUAUAUAAAUAUGUAUAAAUGCAUAUGUAAUAUUCAACAGUAUAAAAAAUAAUCACGGC
RNAcentral lists this long non-coding RNA (1038 nucleotides) under Rattus norvegicus (Norway rat). RNAcentral's name for it is "long non-coding RNA NONRATT032990". Lineage: Eukaryota; Metazoa; Chordata; Mammalia; Rodentia; Muridae. The record is from RNAcentral.